CUGUCAUAUCAUGUUGAAACACCAGUUACCGUACGACCACCGAAGUUAAGCAAUGUCGAGCCAGGUCAGUACCUAGAUGGGUGACCGCUUGGGAACGCCAUGUGCUGUAAG
Molecule: non-coding RNA, 111 nt
Organism: Acanthosepion pharaonis
Lineage: Eukaryota; Metazoa; Mollusca; Cephalopoda; Sepiida; Sepiidae
Source: the annotation of a GenBank genome assembly